This 332-nucleotide long non-coding RNA is filed under the name Androctonus crassicauda. Lineage: Eukaryota; Metazoa; Arthropoda; Arachnida; Scorpiones; Buthidae. The record is from RNAcentral.
CGUGCACACACACACAUUGCAGUGAGAGAGAAUGCUAUGAGAAAGAGAUACGGAGAAUAAGGACAAUAACAAAGUAGCAUGGAUACAACGAUAUGCUUAUAGACAAAAUAUUAAAAGAAACAACUUUUGCUUCUCCACGAACUGACGAAACUGACAACUAUACUGCAGCUCUUACUAGGGAGGGUUUGAUACCUAACCAUCGAUACUCCGUAAUACCAGAAACAAUCAGAGACUUUACAGUAGUCCGGAAUAUAAUCAGACAAGACCCAAAAAAACAUGCUUACAAAAGACCUCCAACAGUGUACCACUCCCUGAGAAACGACAAGGACCCC